Molecule: long non-coding RNA, 638 nt
Organism: Mytilus californianus (California mussel)
Lineage: Eukaryota; Metazoa; Mollusca; Bivalvia; Mytilida; Mytilidae
Exons: 2
Source: RefSeq, a predicted model, not a curated record
UUUAAUAGUACAACCAAAACUAAGGUACUAUGGAAAGGUAAAGAUUUAGUAGUACAACCAAAACUAAGGUACUAUGGAAAGGUAAAGACUUAGUAGUACAACCAAAACUAAGGUACUAUGGAAAGGUAAAGACUUAGUAGUACAACCAAAACUAAGGUACUAUGGAAAGGUAAAGAUUUAGUAGUACAACCAAAACUAAGGUACUAUGGAAAGGUAAAGACUUAGUAGUACAACCAAAACUAAGGUACUAUGGAAAGGUAAAGACUUAGUAGUACAACCAAAACUAAGGUACUAUGGAAAGGUAAAGAUUUAGUAGUACAACCAAAACUAAGGUACUAUGGAAAGGUAAAGACUUAGUAGUACAACCAAAACUAAGGUACUAUGGAAAGGUAAAGAUUUAGUAGUACAACCAAAACUAAGGUACUAUGGAAAGGUAAAGAUUUAGUAGUACAACCAAAACUAAGGUACUAUGGAAAGGUAAAGAUUUAGUAGUACAACCAAAACUAAGGUACUAUGGAAAGGUAAGUUGUAGUUGUUUCAAUAGGGGCACCUGUUGUUUUGCUCAUAACUAACGGUGAUAAGUCGCAUGAUUUCCUAAACGAGGAAAGCAGGUAAAAUGGAAAAGUGGAGCAAAAAUA